GGCAAAAUAAGUCAGAUGUGAAAUUCCACAGCUCAACUGUGGAGCUGCAUUUGAAACUGUUUAGCUAGAGCAUAAUUAGGGAAAACGGAAUUCCACAUGUAGCGGUGAAAUGCGUAGAUAUGUGGAGGAACACCGGUGGUGAAGACGGUUUUCUGGGUUAUUGCUGACGCUGAGGCGCGAAAGCUAGGGGAGCAAACAGGAUUAGAUACCCUGGUAGUCCUAGCCGUAAACGAUGCAUACUGGAUGUAGGAAGGCUCAACCCUUUCUGUAUCGGAGCUAACGCGUUAAGUAUGCCGCCUGGGGAGUACGCUCGCAAGGGUGAAACUCAAAAGAAUUGACGGGGGCCCGCACAAGCAGUGGAGCAUGUGGUUUAAUUCGAUGCAACGCGAAGAACCUUACCCAGGCUCGAAGUGUAGAGAAAAACAGUAGAAAUAUUGCGUCCCGAAAGGGGCUCUAUAUAGGUGCUGCAUGGCUGUCGUCAGCUCGUGCCGUGAGGUGUUGGGUUAAGUCCCGCAACGAGCGCAACCCUUAUUGUCAGUUGCCAACAUGUAAUGGUGGGGACUCUGGCAAGACUGCCUAGGUUAACUAGGAGGAAGGUGAGGAUGACGUCAAGUCCGCAUGGCCUUUAUGUCUGGGGCUACACACGUGCUACAAUGGUCGGUACAGAAGGCAGCGAAACCGCGAGGUGGAGCAAAUCCGAAAAAACCGAUCUCAGUUCAGAUUGCAGUCUGCAACUCGGCUGCAUGAAGUUGG
RNAcentral lists this ribosomal RNA (753 nucleotides) under uncultured Chlamydia sp. RNAcentral describes it as "bacterial SSU rRNA". It matches the Rfam family "Bacterial small subunit ribosomal RNA", at positions 577 to 1329 of the family's 1533-position model. The record is from RNAcentral. Lineage: Bacteria; Pseudomonadati; Chlamydiota; Chlamydiia; Chlamydiales; Chlamydiaceae.